RNAcentral lists this ribosomal RNA (492 nucleotides) under uncultured bacterium. RNAcentral's name for it is "partial 16S ribosomal RNA". It matches the Rfam family "Bacterial small subunit ribosomal RNA", at positions 29 to 507 of the family's 1533-position model. The record is from RNAcentral.
AGUGAACGCUGGCGGUAUGCCUAACACAUGCAAGUCGAACGGCAGCACAGUAAGAGCUUGCUCUUACGGGUGGCGAGUGGCGUACUGGUGAGGAAUACAUCGGAAUCUACUUUUUCGUGGGGGAUAACGUAGGGAAACUUACCCUAAUACCGCAUACUACCUACGGGUGAAAGCAGGGGAUUUUCGGACCUUGCGCGAUUGAAUGAGCCGAUGUCGGAUUAGCUAGUUGGCGGGGUAAAGGCCCACCAAGGCGACGAUCCGUAGCUGGUCUGAGAGGAUGAUCAGCCACACUGGAACUGAGACACGGUCCAGACUCCUACGGGAGGCAGCAGUGGGGAAUAUUGGACAAUGGGCGCAAGCCUGAUCCAGCCAUACCGCGUGGGUGAAGAAGGCCUUCGGGUUGUAAAGCCCUUUUGUUAGGAAAGAAAAGCAGCAGGUUAAUACCCCGCUGUUAUGACGGUACCCAAAGAAUAAGCACCGGCUAACUUCGUG